RNAcentral lists this ribosomal RNA (497 nucleotides) under uncultured bacterium. Its description in RNAcentral is "partial 16S ribosomal RNA". It matches the Rfam family "Bacterial small subunit ribosomal RNA", at positions 28 to 507 of the family's 1533-position model. The record is from RNAcentral.
GACGAACGCUGGCGGCGUGCCUAAUACAUGCAAGUUGAGCGCUGAAGGUUGGUACUUGUACCAACUGGAUGAGCAGCGAACGGGUGAGUAGCGCGUGGGGAAUCUGCCUUUGAGCGGGGGACAACAUUUGGAAACGAAUGCUAAUACCGCAUAAAAACUUUAAACACAAGUUUUAAGUUUGAAAGAUGCAAUUGCAUCACUCAAAGAUGAUCCCGCGUUGUAUUAGCUAGUUGGUGAGGUAAAGGCUCACCAAGGCGAUGAUACAUAGCCGACCUCAGAGGGUGAUCGGCCACAUUGGGACUGAGACCAGGCCCAAACUCCUACGGGGGGCAGCAGUAGGGAAUCUUCGGCAAUGGCCGAAAGUCUGGCCGAGCAACGCCGCGUGAGUGAAGAAGGUUUUCGGAUCGUAAAACUCUGUUGGUAGCGAAGAACGUUGGUGAGAGUGGAAAGCUCAUCAAGUGACGGUAACUACCCAGAAAGGGACGGCUAACUACGUG